This is an RNA transcript of Neoarius graeffei (lesser salmon catfish), 2577 nucleotides long. It is a transcript of the gene named WD repeat, sterile alpha motif and U-box domain containing 1, with no coding region annotated. Lineage: Eukaryota; Metazoa; Chordata; Actinopteri; Siluriformes; Ariidae. The record is from RefSeq and is a predicted model, not a curated record. The transcript has 15 exons.
CUAAUCAGGAAGUAGGCGCGCGAGCCAGCUGUGGUGAGGAGCAGUUGGGUCUGUGGCGGAGGUUCGGUUCGGUUCUGUUCUGUUCAUGCCGGAAUCAAAAUGGUGUCUCUGAUAUGCACUGUACAAGGCCAUCGUGAUGACGUGAACUGCUGCGCAUUCUCCGCUUCGCUUCUCGCCACGUGCUCAGCAGAUAAAACUGUCCGAGUCUACUCCACCCGAGACUUCUCCGAGCUCUCGUUCUCACCGCUCUCGGGCCACGGCUAUGGGGUCCACUGCUGCUGCUUCAGCCCCUGCGGCCAGUACUUGGCAUCCUGUUCCACCGACGCCACCACGGUGGUAUGGGCGAUGGGCAGCGGGGAGAUCGAGGCCGUGCUCGAGCAUCCGGGCAGGAGUCCGGUCAGGGUGUGUGCCUUCUCACCCACCUCCUCAUAUCUGAUUUCGGGCGCUUCAGACGGCACCGUGGCUCUGUGGGACUUCACGUCCAGAACUCUGCUCAGGACCGGCACCGUUCCUGACACCAUGAUAGUCGCAUGUUCCUUCAGCCCCUGCAGUCAGCUGUUUGCUACAGGCUCCUCGUAUGGAGACCUCCGUAUCUGGGACCUGGGCAUGAACCAGCUCCACACGGAGAAGUACGCCCAUGACCUUGGGGUCACCUGCUGCCAAUUUGCACCACAGAUGGGUAUGAGGAACACUGAAAGCGAUGAGGCAGGCUGUGUGGUCCAGUUCCGUUUGGCCUCCUGUGGUCAGGACAGCUUGCUGAAGAUCUGGCUGGUUUCGCAGAGCUUUUCUAGAGGUUGUAAGAUGCAGCUGGUACACACACUGUCAGGUCAGUCAUCUGCAGUCCUGUGCUGCUGUUACUCCGCAGACGGACAGCUUCUAGCCUCUGGGUCUAUGGAUAAGACGGUUGCAGUUUACGAAGCAAAAGGUGGAGUCUUACUUUAUACCUUGAGCCAGCAUGAGAGGUAUGUGACAGCGUGCGCGUUCUCCCCGACUGUCCCUCUACUAGCCACCGGCUCCAUGGACAAAACAGUGAAGGUGUGGAGGGUGGAGGACGGCUGCAGCACUCAGGGUGCUGGACCUGAUGGCAAAUCUCUUCCAGAUGAAGUCCCUUCCAGCUCCCUUGAAGCAGGCAGGAAGUGGCCGUGUCACUCCAGGCUGCUGGUGAACGAUUGGUCAGAGGAUGAUGUGUCGUCAUGGUUACGGGAGGUAGGACUGGAGAGCCUCGUCCAGACGUUUAAAGCCAAUAAUAUUGACGGAGCAGAACUGCUCAUGCUGAACAAGGAGAGCCUCAGCUCGGAGCUUCAUAUAGAGUCACUGGGUUUGCGCAGUAAAAUUUUACGGAUGAUAGAGGAGCUGAAGAUGGCACCGGUGUCCGACGGCAUUCCUGAUGAGUUCCUCUGCCCCAUCACGCACGAGGUCAUGAAGGACCCGGUGAUUGCUGCAGAUGGCUACUCGUACGAGCGGGAGGCUAUUGAAAGCUGGAUCAAGACACAGAGCCGCUCCAGCCCUAUGACCAACCUGCCACUGCAGACCACGCUGCUCACCCCCAACCGCACGCUCAAAAUGGCCAUCUGCCGCUGGACCAGCAGCCAGUGAUCAGCCACGCCUCGAACACUCUCUCACGGAACAUCCUGCUUCCCCCACAGCGCUUGAGCAGAGUAAUUAACGCUGUAACAGCUCUGAAUCCAGGUAUGCUGGGACCUUAGUACAAAAACACGGGCUCGACAUCAUUCUGUCCUCGUCUAGACACCUGCUUAAAACGUGAAACUACACACAGGUAAAAGAUUAAUGAUGAACAUUAGAUUUACCUCUCAGUAUAAACUUGAUCCAGUUUUUACUGAUUUCAGAAGUGGAGUGUUAUUACGCGUCAGCUCUAAUGGGAAAACAGCACAUGCUUUAGCAGAGUGACGACAACUGAAGUGUUGCGGCUGCCGAUGGCGCGGUCGAGGGGCCGCAUGCCGCUGUAGUCCAUGUGCUCGAUCACAGCACCGCGUUCCACCAGGUGUACAAACUUCUGCACCACAGCCAGUCAUGUCAUGGUGUGUGAAGUGUAAGAUAUUUUUUUGUCUGUAUUCUCUACGCACAAUGUCGGCAUCUCCAUAAAACGCAGCGAGAUCGAGAGGAGUGCGUCCGUGUUUAUCCGUGUGAUCGAUCUGCGCGCCUCUCUCCACCAGCAGCUCCACAACGCUCUUCUGGCCCUUCAGACACGCCCAGCUCAACGGCGUCAGGCCCUCCUUAUCCACCGCCGUCAUGCAUGCCCCUGCAUCUCACACACACAUGAAAAAUCAUAAACAUGCCACCUCUGGGACGGUCUCUGUGUAUCUGAGGUCAGCAGACUCACCCUGCGACAGAAGGAAGUCCACAGUGGUCACGUGACCUUCGCUGGCCGCAACCAUCAGCAGUGAGCGGCCAUGUUUGUCGGAGACGUCCACCUCGGCGCCGUGGUGCAGCAAAAGUUCUACCACCUGACCGGAGGAAACCGGAAACACGACUGUGACUCACUGUGUUUCAUGAACAUGUUGCUUGUUUUAAAAUAUGAUUUCCGUUAUACGAUUAAAAGCAUUAAGAAGAAAAAAA